ACGCUGGCGGCAGGCUUAACACAUGCAAGUCGAACGCUCCGCAAGGAGAGUGGCAGACGGGUGAGUAACGCGUGGGAACCUACCCAGAACUUCGGAAUAACACAUGGAAACGUGUGCUAAUACCGGAUACGCCCUACGGGGGAAAGAUUUAUCGGUUUUGGAUGGGCCCGCGUAAGAUUAGCUAGUUGGUGAGGUAAUGGCUCACCAAGGCGACGAUUUUUAGCUGGUCUGAGAGGAUGAUCAGCCACACUGGGACUGAGACACGGCCCAGACUCCUACGGGAGGCAGCAGUGGGGAAUAUUGGACAAUGGGCGCAAGCCUGAUCCAGCCAUGCCGCGUGAGUGAUGAAGGCCUUAGGGUUGUAAAGCUCUUUCAGUAGGGAAGAUAAUGACGGUACCUACAGAAGAAGCCCCGGCUAACUUCGUGCCAGCAGCCGCGGUAAUACGAAGGGGGCUAGCGUUGUUCGGAUUUACUGGGCGUAAAGCGCACGUAGGCGGAUCGUUAAGUUAGGGGUGAAAUCCUGGAGCUCAACUCCAGAACUGCCUCUAAUACUGGCGAUCUAGAGUCCGGAAGAGGUGAGUGGAACUCCUAGUGUAGAGGUGGAAUUCGUAGAUAUUAGGAAGAACACCAGUGGCGAAGGCGGCUCACUGGUCCGGUACUGACGCUGAGGUGCGAAAGCGUGGGGAGCAAAC
Molecule: ribosomal RNA, 692 nt
Filed under: uncultured bacterium
Lineage: Bacteria
Description: bacterial SSU rRNA
Rfam family: Bacterial small subunit ribosomal RNA
Source: RNAcentral